UCUUAUCAAGAGUGGUGGAGGGACUGGCCCUUAGAAACCACAGCAACCGGCGAGCAAUCGCACGGUGCUAAUUCUUGCUAUUCAUGUU
Molecule: non-coding RNA, 88 nt
Filed under: uncultured Paenibacillus sp.
Lineage: Bacteria; Bacillati; Bacillota; Bacilli; Caryophanales; Paenibacillaceae
Description: SAM riboswitch (S box leader)
Rfam family: SAM riboswitch aptamer (S box leader)
About the family: The SAM riboswitch is found upstream of a number of genes which code for proteins involved in methionine or cysteine biosynthesis in Gram-positive bacteria. The SAM riboswitch acts at the level of transcription termination control. The predicted structure consists of a complex stem-loop region followed by a single stem loop terminator region.
Source: RNAcentral